UGUUUGGGAAUGCAGCUCAAAUUGGGUGGUAAAUUCCAUCUAAAGCUAAAUAUUGGCGAGAGACCGAUAGCGAACAAGUACCGUGAGGGAAAGAUGAAAAGCACUUUGGAAAGAGAGUUAACAGUACGUGAAAUUGUUGGAAGGGAAACGCUUGAAGUCAGACUUGCUAUUCGGGGCUUGCUCCGAGUUGCAGGCCAGCAUCAGUUUUUCGGGGCGGAAAAUCACGGAUUGAAGGUAGCAGUUUCGGCUGUGUUAUAGCU
This 260-nucleotide ribosomal RNA is filed under the name Rhodosporidiobolus ruineniae. Its description in RNAcentral is "partial large subunit ribosomal RNA". It matches the Rfam family "Eukaryotic large subunit ribosomal RNA", at positions 271 to 521 of the family's 3401-position model. Lineage: Eukaryota; Fungi; Basidiomycota; Microbotryomycetes; Sporidiobolales; Sporidiobolaceae. The record is from RNAcentral.